AUUUUGGCAUUUUUUUGCGAGAUGUGACGUGUACAAUUAUCACAUCCACGUGUACAACAUUUUUAAAUGGCCGGAAAAAGACAAAUUUUGAGCCUUAAUAAGGUGGUCUUACACCCAUAUUUUCAAUUUUUUUGCAAUUAAUUGUAGGGUAGAUGUAAGUUUAUAUUAUAGUAGAGUACAAAAAGGUGAUCAAGAAAAUACAUCACUUUACAUGUGUGUUGCCAUGGUUACCAUGGUAAUUACCCCCUAGUGAGAAAAUAAGCACCUAUUUUCAGACUAGAUUAAGCUUCAGUGGAU
Non-coding RNA from Paramuricea clavata, 297 nucleotides. NCBI's taxonomy places the organism in Eukaryota, Metazoa, Cnidaria, Anthozoa, Malacalcyonacea, Plexauridae. The record is from the annotation of a GenBank genome assembly.